AGUCGAACGGCAGCACGGACUUCGGUCUGGUGGCGAGUGGCGAACGGGUGAGUAAUGUAUCGGAACGCCUAGUAGCGGGGAUAACUACGCGAAAGCGUAGCUAAUACCGCAUACGCCCUUCGGGGGAAAGCGGGGGACCUUCGGGCCUCGCACUAUUAGAGCGGCCGAUAUCGGAUUAUUUAGCUAGUUAGGUAUCGGCUCACCAAGGCGACGAUCCGUAGCUGGUUUGAGAGGACGACCAGCCACACUGACUAGAGACGGCCCAGACUCCUACGGGAGUGUGCGGGGAAUUUUGGACAAUGGGGGAAACCCUGAUCCAGCCAUCCCGCGCAGUGAUACGCCUUCGGGUUGUAAAGCACUUUUGGCAGGAAGAAACGGCACGGGAUAAUACCCCGUGCAACUGACGGUACCUGCAGAAUAAGCACCGGCUAACUACGUGCCAGCAGCCGCGGUAAUACGUAGGGUGCAAGCGUUAAUCGGAAUUACUGGGCGUAAAGCGUGCAGCGGUUCGGAAAGAAAGAUGUGAAAUCCCAGAGCUUAACUUUGAACUGCACUUUAACUACCGAGCCAGAGUGUGUCGAGGAGGCAAUUCCGUAGCAGUGAAAUGCGUAGAUAUGCGGAGGAACACCGAUGGCGAAGGCAGCCUCUGGGAUAACACUGACGCUCAUGCACGAAAGCGUGGGGAGCAAACAGGAUUAGAUACCCGGUAGUCCACGCCCUAAACGAUGUCAACUAGCUGUUGGGGCCUUCGGGCCUUGGUAGCGCAGCUAACGCGUGAAGUUGACCGCCUGGGGAGUACGAAUGCAGAUUAAACUCAAAGGAAUUGACGGGGACCCGCACAAGUGGAGAUGAUUAAUUCGAUGCAACGCGAAAAACCUGCCCACCCUGAGAUGUCUGGAAUCCCGAAGAGAUUUGGAGUGUCGUGAGAACCGGAACACAGGUGCUGCAUGUUGCCGUCGCUCGUGUCGUAGAUGUUGGGUUAAGUCCCGCAACGAGCGCAACCUUGCUGCCAGUUGCUGCCGAAAGGCACUUUAAUGAGACUGGUUGUGACAAACCGGAGAAGGUGGAUGACGUCAAGUCCUCAUGGCCCUUAUGGGUAGGGCUUCACAAUGUCAUGCGAAUGGUCGGGACAGAGGGUCGCUAACCCGCGAGGGGGAGCCAAUCCCAGAAACCCGAUCGUCCGGACGUGAGUUCGUAACUCCCAUCAGUGGAAGUCGGAAUCGCUAGUAAUCGCGGAUCAGCAUGUCGCGGUGAAUACGUUCCUGGUCUUGUACACACCGCCCGCCACACCAUGGGAAGUGGGUUUCACUUGUGAAGUAGUUAGCCUAACCGUAAGGAGGGCGACACGGUAGGAUUCAUGAUCAGUGAAGUCGUAACAAGGUAA
This 1384-nucleotide ribosomal RNA is filed under the name uncultured Bordetella sp. Its description in RNAcentral is "partial 16S-23S ribosomal RNA intergenic spacer". It matches the Rfam family "Bacterial small subunit ribosomal RNA". The record is from RNAcentral. Lineage: Bacteria; Pseudomonadati; Pseudomonadota; Betaproteobacteria; Burkholderiales; Alcaligenaceae.